AUGGGUAUACCUAAAUUUCCCAUGGCGAACUGCUCAAUAACACAUGAUCAACUUGCCCUAUAGAGAAAAAUAACCUCGGGAAACUGAGGAUGAUGUUUCAUAGUUGAAAAGGCUUGGAAAAGUUUUUCGACCAAAGGGAUAAAAAAAAUGGUUUUUAUCCGCUAUAGGAUAGGAUCGUGCUCGAUCAUGGUUGUUGGUGAGGUAACGGCUCACCAAGCCGAUAAUCGAUAGGGGCCGUGAGAGCGGGAGCCCCGAGAUGGGUACUGAGACAGCGACCCAGGCCUUACGAGGCGCAGCAGGCGCGGAACCUCCGCAAUACACGAAAGUGUGACGGGGUUACCCAAAGUGUUCAAUUAUGAACUGUGGUAGGUGAGUAAUGUCCCCUACUAGAAAGGAGAGGGCAAGGCUGGUGCCAGCCGCCGCGGUAAAACCAGCUCUUCAAGUGGUCGGGAUAAUUAUUGGGCUUAAAGUGUCCGUAGCCGGUUUAGUAAGUUCCUGGUAAAAUCAGGUAGCCUAACUAUCUGCAUGCUAGGAAUACUGCUAUACUAGAGGGCGGGAGAGGUCUGAGGUACUACAGGGGUAGGGGUGAAAUCUUAUAAUCCUUGUAGGACCACCAGUGGCGAAGGCGUCAGACUGGAACGUGCCUG
This 647-nucleotide ribosomal RNA is filed under the name uncultured archaeon. RNAcentral describes it as "bacterial SSU rRNA". It matches the Rfam family "Archaeal small subunit ribosomal RNA", at positions 62 to 693 of the family's 1478-position model. The record is from RNAcentral.